AUUCACAUCUAUACUUUACAAAGGGUGAACAAUAUUAAAAAGAUGUGUGAUUUGUUCUCACAACCUUUGUUCUGUAUCAAAACUGCGGUGGGUAUGCCAGUACGGAGGACUGGUACAAGAACCAGACAGUGCUUGUUAAUUUUUCAUAAACAGUGCUUAAAUAAACAACAAUCUUGACAUUUUUCUGUAAACAGACAAAUUUAAUAGAUUUGCUUUUUUAUUGCAGACUACAGGGGGUAGGGGGCAGUGGGAAUUGUGCAGAAAUCUGGUGCCAGAGUGAUGCACUGGUUGCCUGCUUUGAUAUAUCAGGUGAUGAACAUUUAGUCAAGGGGAAGAGUCAUGUGCAACAGAGCAAAGCAGUUGCUCUUAUGCAGAGCAGCAUACAGUAACCAAAAGUGCAGAUCUUUUUGCUGGGAAAGGUCAACAGUAUGUAUGCCCACAAUGUCUCUGCCACUGUACUCAACUGAAGUCCCCUGUGAUUGAGUGCAUAAAUGUUUUUUUUGUUUUUUGUCCAAAGUGUGUUUUGUGGUAUCUGACUGAAAUGCCCUUGGUUCAGAUUCCAGCAUAACCCCACUGCAGAUUGCGUUUGCUGUUCUUGCUGCCCUUCUUGUUUUUGGUGCCAUUACAUACUACAUUUUGAAGGCCUGUCGAAAGCAGGGGCACAGGGAGCCACAGCUGGGAGGGACAGACCCACAGAGACAGCCCCAGGCACAGGAC
Long non-coding RNA from Anguilla anguilla (European eel), 717 nucleotides. RefSeq lists it as uncharacterized. NCBI's taxonomy places the organism in Eukaryota, Metazoa, Chordata, Actinopteri, Anguilliformes, Anguillidae. The record is from RefSeq and is a predicted model, not a curated record. The transcript is spliced from 2 exons.